GAUGAACGCUGGCGGCGUGCCUAAUACAUGCAAGUCGAGCGAACGGACGAGAAGCUUGCUUCUCUGAUGUUAGCGGCGGACGGGUGAGUAACACGUGGAUAACCUACCUAUAAGACUGGGAUAACUUCGGGAAACCGGAGCUAAUACCGGAUAAUAUUUUGAACCGCAUGGUUCAAAAGUGAAAGACGGUCUUGCUGUCACUUAUAGAUGGAUCCGCGCUGCAUUAGCUAGUUGGUAAGGUAACGGCUUACCAAGGCAACGAUGCAUAGCCGACCUGAGAGGGUGAUCGGCCACACUGGGACUGAGACACGGUCCAGACUCCUACGGGAGGCAGCAGUAGGGAAUCUUCCGCAAUGGGCGAAAGCCUGACGGAGCAACGCCGCGUGAGUGAUGAAGGUCUUCGGAUCGUAAAACUCUGUUAUUAGGGAAGAACAUAUGUGUAAGUAACUGUGCACAUCUUGACGGUACCUAAUCAGAAAGCCACGGCUAACUACGUGCCAGCAGCCGCGGUAAUACGUAGGUGGCAAGCGUUAUCCGGAAUUAUUGGGCGUAAAGCGCGCGUAGGCGGUUUUUUAAGUCUGAUGUGAAAGCCCACGGCUCAACCGUGGAGGGUCAUUGGAAACUGGAAAACUUGAGUGCAGAAGAGGAAAGUGGAAUUCCAUGUGUAGCGGUGAAAUGCGCAGAGAUAUGGAGGAACACCAGUGGCGAAGGCGACUUUCUGGUCUGUAACUGACGCUGAUGUGCGAAAGCGUGGGGAUCAAACAGGAUUAGAUACCCUGGUAGUCCACGCCGUAAACGAUGAGUGCUAAGUGUUAGGGGGUUUCCGCCCCUUAGUGCUGCAGCUAACGCAUUAAGCACUCCGCCUGGGGAGUACGACCGCAAGGUUGAAACUCAAAGGAAUUGACGGGGACCCGCACAAGCGGUGGAGCAUGUGGUUUAAUUCGAAGCAACGCGAAGAACCUUACCAAAUCUUGACAUCCUUUGACAACUCUAGAGAUAGAGCUUUCCCCUUCGGGGGACAAAGUGACAGGUGGUGCAUGGUUGUCGUCAGCUCGUGUCGUGAGAUGUUGGGUUAAGUCCCGCAACGAGCGCAACCCUUAAGCUUAGUUGCCAUCAUUAAGUUGGGCACUCUAAGUUGACUGCCGGUGACAAACCGGAGGAAGGUGGGGAUGACGUCAAAUCAUCAUGCCCCUUAUGAUUUGGGCUACACACGUGCUACAAUGGACAAUACAAAGGGCAGCGAAACCGUGAGGUCAAGCAAAUCCCAUAAAGUUGUUCUCAGUUCGGAUUGUAGUCUGCAACUCGACUACAUGAAGCUGGAAUCGCUAGUAAUCGUAGAUCAGCAUGCUACGGUGAAUACGUUCCCGGGUCU
This 1372-nucleotide ribosomal RNA is filed under the name uncultured bacterium. RNAcentral's name for it is "bacterial SSU rRNA". It matches the Rfam family "Bacterial small subunit ribosomal RNA", at positions 28 to 1381 of the family's 1533-position model. The record is from RNAcentral.